This is a long non-coding RNA of Colius striatus (speckled mousebird), 511 nucleotides long. RefSeq lists it as uncharacterized. The record is from RefSeq and is a predicted model, not a curated record. NCBI's taxonomy places the organism in Eukaryota, Metazoa, Chordata, Aves, Coliiformes, Coliidae. The transcript is spliced from 3 exons.
GCCGGCAGCGCCCGAGCCAGGCUGUGCCCCAGUUUGUGUCCAAUCAGAGAGUGAAGUGCGUGCACCGAGCGGGGCGGCAAUGCGUAAACAAGCCCCGGGAAACUCCUCCGCCCCCCGCUCUCUCCUCCGCGCCGCGCCCGCCCGCUCCCCGCAGCCUUCCCCCGCCGCCCGCCAACAACUCCGGGGAGGCGCGCGCUCCCGCCGCCCAACCGCCUCAGCCGCCCUCCCCUCCCCCCGCCCGCCCAGCCGGCGCCGCCCGCGCUGCCACACGCACCCCACUCCCGCACCCGCCCGCGGGUGCCUGUGGCCUCUCGAGGGGGAAGCACAAGGAACCGAUCAAAACUCUGGGUAGAAGAUACAUUUCAGGAAAAGAAGAAAUUUGCGUACACGGAAAAGAAAUCACACAGAAGGAUUGUGGAGAAGAAUCUAGAGUGCAAGUUCUGUUUGUGUCCACUGCCUCUUCUGUCAUUGGACAAUAUUGAGAAGCUUUUGCUCUGCCUUUCCCCAUCAG